This 414-nucleotide ribosomal RNA is filed under the name Triticum aestivum (bread wheat). RNAcentral's name for it is "partial small subunit ribosomal RNA". Lineage: Eukaryota; Viridiplantae; Streptophyta; Magnoliopsida; Poales; Poaceae. The record is from RNAcentral.
AUGACCAGAGACAACCUGAGGAAAAGUCACAUCAUUAAAUCCCUUGAUUGUGUCUUCUUUUCUGAUCAAGAAACUAACUCCCACUUGUUUUUUGAUUGCAUAGUAGCAAAAAUCAUCUGGUCUUUUGUGGCUGACCACUUUCAGGUCCACUUAGGAACAGGAUACGAAUCUGUAGCCAGAUUCUGGGUCUCUAACAAGAAGAAUUCGGCUCUAAACAUAGUUUCUUCAGCUGUCCUUUGGUGUUUGUGGAAGUAUAGGAACUCUAUCAUCUUUAACAACACCAUUUGGACCUCGAUUUCGCAGGUCUGGAGACUGAUCCUCAGAACCCUCAAGUUCUGGGUGAUCUUGGCACCCGAAAGUGGCAGGGCUCGCCUGGAGAUUUUCCUGACAGCGCUAACAGCUUUCUCGCUAUAG